AAUUUUGGACAAUGGGGGCAACCCUGAUCCAGCCAUCGCGCGUGUGCGAUGAAGGCCUNUGGGUUNUNAAGCACUUUUGGCAGGGNCGAAAAGGCGCCGGCUAAUACCUGGCGCCGCUGACGGUACCUGCAGAAUAAGCACCGGCUAACUACGUGCCGGCAGCCGCGGUAAUACGUAGGGUGCAAGCGUUAAUCGGAAUUACUGGGCGUAAAGCGUGCGCAGGCGGUUCGGAAAGAAAGAUGUGAAAUCCCAGGGCUUAACCUUGGAACUGCAUUUUUAACUGCCGGGCUAGAGUAUGUCAGAGGGGGGUAGAAUUCCACGUGUAGCAGUGAAAUGCGUAGAGAUGUGGAGGAAUACCGAUGGCGAAGGCAGCCCCCUGGGAUGAUACUGACGCUCAUGCACGAAAGCGUGGGGAGCAAACAGG
This 424-nucleotide ribosomal RNA is filed under the name uncultured bacterium. RNAcentral's name for it is "partial 16S ribosomal RNA". It matches the Rfam family "Bacterial small subunit ribosomal RNA", at positions 360 to 776 of the family's 1533-position model. The record is from RNAcentral.